This 91-nucleotide transfer RNA is filed under the name Vibrio cholerae. RNAcentral describes it as "tRNA-Ser". It matches the Rfam family "tRNA". Rfam says of the family: Transfer RNA (tRNA) molecules are approximately 80 nucleotides in length. Their secondary structure includes four short double-helical elements and three loops (D, anti-codon, and T loops). RNAcentral also lists the same sequence under 10 other names. The record is from RNAcentral. Lineage: Bacteria; Pseudomonadati; Pseudomonadota; Gammaproteobacteria; Vibrionales; Vibrionaceae.
GGAGAGAUGGCUGAGUGGUUGAAAGCACCGGUCUUGAAAACCGGCGAAGGUUUGUAGCCUUCCUAGGGUUCAAAUCCCUAUCUCUCCGCCA